RNAcentral lists this ribosomal RNA (254 nucleotides) under uncultured bacterium. Its description in RNAcentral is "partial 16S ribosomal RNA". It matches the Rfam family "Bacterial small subunit ribosomal RNA", at positions 524 to 776 of the family's 1533-position model. The record is from RNAcentral.
CACGUAGGGGCCAAGCGUUGUCCGGAUUUAUUGGGCGUAAAGAGCUCGUAGGCGGUUCGACAAGUCGGGUGUGAAAACUCCGGGCUCAACCCGGAGACGCCACCCGAUACUGUCGUGGCUAGAGUCCGGUAGGGGCCCACGGAACUCCUGGUGUAGCGGUGAAAUGCGCAGAUAUCAGGAAGAACACCGAUGGCGAAGGCAGUGGGCUGGGCCGGUACUGACGCUGAGGAGCGAAAGCGUGGGGAGCGAACAGG